This 253-nucleotide ribosomal RNA is filed under the name uncultured bacterium. RNAcentral's name for it is "partial 16S ribosomal RNA". It matches the Rfam family "Bacterial small subunit ribosomal RNA", at positions 524 to 776 of the family's 1533-position model. The record is from RNAcentral.
UACGUAGGGCGCAAGCGUUGUCCGGAAUUAUUGGGCGUAAAGAGCUCGUAGGCGGUUUGUCGCGUCUGCUGUGAAAACCUAAGGCUCAACCUUGGGCUUGCAGUGGGUACGGGCAGACUAGAGUGCGGUAGGGGUGACUGGAAUUCCUGGUGUAGCGGUGGAAUGCGCAGAUAUCAGGAGGAACACCGAUGGCGAAGGCAGGUCACUGGGCCGCAACUGGCGCUGAGGAGCGAAAGCAUGGGGAGCGAACAGG